RNAcentral lists this long non-coding RNA (1775 nucleotides) under Triticum aestivum (bread wheat). RNAcentral describes it as "long non-coding RNA (TAES_LNC024894)". Lineage: Eukaryota; Viridiplantae; Streptophyta; Magnoliopsida; Poales; Poaceae. The record is from RNAcentral.
UUGCAGAGAGGUACCGGAACGGCGAGCUGAAGAGGGCUCUUUCCGAGGCUGAAGCCUACGCCUUCAAGGUAUAAAAUCCUUGUCGAUUCGGUUCAGUAGUUGCUCAACUCGGAUGCCUGAAUUUGUUCCAGUUUUGUCGAUUUCUUUCUUGGGACAGAAUUUAGAGUAUGAUGUUCUGUAGCUGUGAUUUGUCCAUCGAUGUUGAUAGCUAGUACAAUUGAUUGAAUACAUCUCCCGCCUCGCCUCCUCUGACACAUACGAUUCUCGGCAUCUCACUCAUGUUCUCGUGGUGCUGCGGGCCAACAUAGGUGGAGCUGCUCAUGGGGUGAGCAGACCGGCCUUGCUCCUGAAUUCUGGCCGUGUUUGGGCUGGCCGGCGAAGAUGGCAAAUUCCGGCGCUUUGGGUACCUCAGCUUCGGUUCCUUUGCUUCCCUUGCUGUUCUCGUGGCCGUGCGCUUCCUUGGCUUCUUCUGCAUGUGCUGAGCUUUCCUGAAUCCCCGACGAGUUAUUGUUUUUCUUCUAGAAUACUCAGUUCCUGGGUGGACGCUUAGUAAGCAGAUAAGUGGACUUGGGCACUUGACUCGUUUCAUAAUAGGAAAAAUAGUGAUUAAAUUCUUAUAUUCAGGGUGACUGGCAUUGUUGGUAGCGUUUUUUUAUUUAAAGAAAACGAUCAAUUCAGAUCAUUCAUAAUAUUAAUAGAGUGUUGGCUCCCAUCCUUCAAAUCCUAAAUUUGUUUCUUUUGGUUAUGUUGAUUAUUUGUUCCUUCUUUGGCUCUGCAUAAGGAAAUAUGGUGAAAAUAAGGGUUAACAUAAGAUAGUACUAAGGGGGGAUUGACUAUCACCACCAGGUGGCAGCAAAAUGUACCGCACAUCAUGACAGAGAAAGGAAAUCCAUAUUCUGGUCAGCUAUUAACACUGUAUGUCUUUGUGUAUAAUUUGGUGGGCAAAAUCACAGUUCAUUAUGCUAAAAUGAGAAAUGAGACAAAACACUCUUGUAGCUGACUGUCAAGAUGAGAAAUGAAACUAUUAGUCUCUCUAUACCUUUGUAGACAGAACACUCUUCAAGCUAGUGUCUAAACUCUAUAUGGUUGUAGACAGAACACUCUUCUAGCUAGUGUCUAAACGGUCCUAGAUAGUGCUUCCCUGCCACUACAUCAUCCUCGUGUUGUACGAUUAACAUCUACCACUACAUCUAUUUUUGGAUUGAAGAAAUUUAACUGCUCUAUAUAUACUUUUCUGUCAAGUAGUCUGACUGUUUAGCAUCUGUUGCUACAGUGACAGAGUUCUCUGUUUAAUUAAAUAGCUAACAUUUUUUUCUGAUAGACCACAAUAUUAUCUCUGAUGAGAAUAUUUGAGCGAAUUGUUUCUUGUUAUUAUCUGAAAAAGAUUGCCACCAUGGCUAUACAAUAAUAAAAUGAAUUUAUUCGUUGCUACAGAGAGAAAUGUCCAACACUAAUUUCUUGUCAUUUUUUGCAUGUCCAGCUUUCUGGAAGAUGGCAUUAGGCAGUGUUCUUUCCGAUGGAGACAACUUCUGAUGCUACCUAGAUUGGCCGAUCUACUUUUUUUAUCAGCGACGCUACUAUCUAUUUCAUGAGGAUGCACUUGGCAGAUCUGUAAGAUCGCAAUGUUCAGCCUGGCUUCUAUCUUUGAUCUGGUAUGUAAUAGUUUUUUCGUUGGUAUAAAACUGCAAGUUAUCCGAAUUGUGCUGCUAAAACAAAGUUCUUGAUAUAAGUUACCUAUAAUCAUCCGGCGCGGCUUAUAUAAUAUUUUGAUAGUA